Molecule: long non-coding RNA, 1911 nt
Organism: Cydia pomonella (codling moth)
Lineage: Eukaryota; Metazoa; Arthropoda; Insecta; Lepidoptera; Tortricidae
Exons: 3
Source: RefSeq, a predicted model, not a curated record
GCGAACACUGUGGACUAAACAUUAAACAUGCAUUUUAAGCAAGUGGUUUAUGGCAGGGUACAUAAACAUUUAUUCAAAUGUGUGAGCAAAGUAUUUCAAAGUCUUUGUUCAAUUUUUUAUCUAUGUGUAGCGCCGGCAUUACACUUGAUACCUACACACACAUAUUUUAAGUAACCGUGUAUGUAGGUUUCUUAAGGCUUAAGGCCGUGCCACACUGCUGCGUGCUGCAAUGGGUGCGCAGCACGUGCACAGCAGCGCGGUGUGGCAUCUAUAAUGGGAUUUCAUACAUUACAACGCGCACGCCACGCACACGCUGCUGUGCACGUGCUGCACAAGCAUUCGGUUUGGCCCGGCCUUUCCCUGCUUAUCUAUGUAGGUAUUGCAGGUACUCGUACGCUUCCAGAAUCCUAGCAGCGCCACGCCAGGCUGGCAAUACCAAUACUUAAGUACCUACAUUUCUUGGUGGGUCAUUUGUUUAUGUCGUAGGCGGCGCCGCGGCUACUACUUUUAGAGGUACUUACCUAACUUCUGAAAAAUAAUAUCUAGGUAUUUAAUUUAUGUUUAAUAUCCUAAACCUCGGAAUUGAAACUAGUAGUUAUUACAAUGAAGGCUAAAUCUGUUGUAAAUUGGUACCUAGUUACUUACUGACGUAAAAGGAUAAGUUAAAUGAUGAAACUUGCUUUUAGAACAGCGGAUGACAAUCCAGGCGUUAUCGGCUCUGACUCGAGAGGACUUGAAGGACCUUAUUCCGCAGGCAGGACCAAGGGUGCUAUUUACAAGGUGUUGGCGUUCGUGGAAAAAUGAGUUUUUGCCAAUAAACGAUACUAGUAUACCAUCUUUUCGGUAAGUUUUUUAUGUGAUUUUGUUUGGGUACCUAAGUACCUAUUUGUAAAAUGUUAUAUUGACAACUUACCUAUUAGUUAGGUGGUAUCUAGAUAGGUACAGUCAGCAUCUUAUCCAGCGCAACCAUGCAACAGAUUGUUGGUUUGUUUUGACCUACUAGGUACCUACUUGGCGGUAGCUACCUACUUAGAUAUGUAGAAUAAGUAGGUAUCAAUAUGAGGAGGGAGGGAGGACUUUGCCCAGCAGUCGGGCAGAGACUGUGAGACUAGGAUUGUAUUAUUAGACUUAAGUCAAAUUAUUAUUAUGAAUUAUUGUUUUCAGGGCCUGGAUUUGUCAAACUUGCAGUUUGAUUGCUUGAGGGAAACUGACGAACUAUCUGAAUGUGUUGUAGAGGUAAUACCAUUAGACAACCCUGAGACAAAAGAAAAUACUGCAAGUACAACAAGUCAUCAACAAUUAGGAAAAGAAACUCAAACUGGGAUACUUGAAAAUUUAUUGAAACAAUCACUCGAAACUUCUUCACUUCUGAUUUAUAAAGGCGGUAGCUUAGAUGGAGAUGCUACUAGAAAUUUAUUAGCGUCUGUGAUUGCCAAAGAAAUAUUAAAUGAGAACAAAAAUUCACCAAUAGUUGGUCAAAUUUAUUUCAAGUGGACAAAAUUGAUAAGUGAACUCUUUCCGGGUGAAAGGACCACAACGUAUUAUAUCCCUGCAUGUACUACUGCGCCUGGCGCAGUUCUUCAAGCAAGAGGCAAACUCGUACAUCAGGUACUGAAGAAAAGGAGGCGCUUCCAACAAUUAGGAUCCUUGACAACAAAAAAAAGAAACAGAGAAGAAAGCCCAGGACCAUCUUCUUCAUCACCAAGACCAAUGCCAAGAAUAAAGAAUAAAUUUAUUGUCAUAAAAACCUUAGUUGGUAAACAACUAAGGUUUUUAUGACAAUAAACAACAUUAAGGUUGAGUCCUCCUAUUAGGUAUUAACAGGCGCGGAUACAAGAUUUGGCUUAGGGGGGGGGCCAUUUUGAGAAAAUCAUAUAUUUUUUCAAAAUUUACUCAAUUUAGUAAUGUGAG